CUGUAGGUGGGUUAAGGGUCUGUAGGUGCCUUCUGUAGGUGGGUUAAGGGUCUGUAGGUGGGUUAAGGGUCUGUAGGUGGGUUAAGGGUCUGUAGGUGGGUUAAGGGUCUGUAGGUGGGUUAAGGGCCUGUAGGUGCCUUCUGUAGGUGGGUUAAGGGUCUGUAGGUGGGUUAAGGGCCUGUAGGUGGGUUAAGGGCCUGUAGGUGGGUUAAGGGCCUGUAGGUGGGUUAAGGGCCUGUAGGUGCCUUCUGUAGGUGGGUUAAGGGUCUGUAGGUGGGUUAAGGGUCUGUAGGUGCCUUCUGUAGGUGGGUUAAGGGUCUGUAGGUGGGUUAAGGGCCUGUAGGUGCCUUCUGUAGGUGGGUUAAGGGCCUGUAGGUGGGUUAAGGGUCUGUAGGUGCCUUCUGUAGGUGGGUUAAGGGUCUGUAGGUGGGUUAAGGGCCUGUAGGUGGGUUAAGGGUCUGUAGAUGGGUUAAGGGUCUGUAGGUGGGUUAAGGGCCUGUAGGUGCCUUCUGUAGGUGGGUUAAGGGUCUGUAGGUGGGUUAAGGGCCUGUAGGUGGGUUAAGGGCCUGUAGGUGCCUUCUGUAGGUGGGUUAAGGGCCUGUAGGUGGGUUAAGGGUCUGUAGGUGCCUUCUGUAGGUGGGUUAAGGGCCUGUAGGUGGGUUAAGGGCCUGUAGGUGCCUUCUGUAGGUGGGUUAAGGGCCUGUAAU
Molecule: non-coding RNA, 707 nt
Organism: Salmo salar (Atlantic salmon)
Lineage: Eukaryota; Metazoa; Chordata; Actinopteri; Salmoniformes; Salmonidae
Source: RefSeq, a predicted model, not a curated record